GGUGGCUCAUGUCCAAGGCCAGCAUCACUCCUCUCUAUGCCAGGGACACUGCAAGAGACCUGGCAGGCACAUCCCAGGGGUGCUCAUCCCCUCUUCCUUUCUUCCUCUCAGCUCAAGCCCUUGUCCUUGCUGGUGAGUCUCUUUGCUUGCAGAUUUAUGGUGACAGCCCUUGGGACCCUGGGCAGUUCUUGCUGAACAAGGCGACAGGCCCUGGUGUCCCCUCAAGGAGCAGCAGGGCAUGGUGUGGCUCUGCUGUCCCUCCACAUGGCACGUGGCUCAAAAGAUGUCAGGCAGCCCUGGGAAUCAGCCCUGCCGCCCCUCUGAAAGAUUAGACAGUGCCGCAAAAUCUCACCAGUGCCCUAGAAACCCCAGCAAGCAUUGGGGUUCUGCCUUCUUCCCCCAUCCCAGCCUACGUGCUCAGGGUUUGGGGCUCCCAACCAUGUGUGCUGUUGCACUGAUCUCUGCUCUGUCCUGCUCCUCUCUCCUGCCUGGACCUUCAUGGCUGCAGAGACAGCCCUGCUAACCCCAGACCAACCCUGGAGCAUGACACUUCCAGGAGACAGCAUGACCCUUAGGUGCUGUGGCUCCCACUUGCUGCGGCAGCACCCCACAGCUUGGUACGAUGGCAAGCUCUUGGCACCCACAGACAUGGACAGCUAAAGGAUCAGAAAUGCCAGGCAAAAACAAACAGGCAGAAUGAGUGCCAGAGCCCUGGCUCUACACACAGCAACAACAUCACCCUGACUGUCUCCUAUAGUGCAUGACAUGACCCUGGGAUGAGCCCUGCUGUCCCCCUGUCUGAGGACCCCUAGGCUUUGCUGUGGACCUACUUGUCCUGCCCUGGGACAAAUGCAGCUCCUGUGGGGUUAACAAAGGCAAUGCUAUUGGGUUUGGGGUGCUGCAAGCUGGGCUGUGGGGGCUUUUUGCCUCCCCUGCUCUGCAAAAUGCAUCCCUCUUUUCAUGGCCCUUUUCAGCUGCUGUUUUCGAGGUCGCUUUCAGACUGGCUGAUCCUCCAGGUCCAGUCGUACAUGUUGUGCAAGGGGGAGCUGCUGCCCAUGCAGUGCUGGGGAUGGGGGGAGCGCAUCUUUGGUGCGACAUUACAGAGAUGAAGCUGGCAUCACCGUGCGGUAUGCCUCUGCAGAGCAACAUUCCAUCUCCCGACCUGAGACCCACCACAGUGGCAGGUAUUGCUGCUCCAUUUCAUCGCUAACUAAGAGGCAGUCUUGGGUUUUAUACAUUUCCAGUGAAGGCAAGAAAUUCCUGUGUCUUUGGGCCCUCCAUCUUCGCAGGGUUUCAUCCAGUGGGAGCUGCAGGACAGAGAGGGUGAGGGGGUCUCUACAAUGUCUGAGCUGGGUCUGUGCUACCAAUGUCGGUGCAGGAAAUCCAGCACCUGCCUACCUCUGGAAAAAGACCUGCCCGGUCACAACCCCUAGCUCGGCUCUAGGACAUUCCUGUACCCAUCUCAGGGUCCCAGCCCUGCACAGCCUUGGUAGGGUGGGAUGAUUGUCCCUUCCCUCCUGCAUCUUUAGAGGUGAUGAACCCCCAGAAGGUCCAUCCGACAAGAUGUGCCCCAUCUCCCCCCUCCCCCCCCCCAGUCUGUCUCUCCCCACCUGUGUCUGUCUCCCCAUCCUAUCCCCCUCCAUAUGUCCCUCGGCCCCCCCUCCAUGUGUCUCUCCCCCAAAUGCUUUCUACUGAAACAUGCCCCACGCGAGGUUUUUCCCUGACACACAUUUUUUCCCAUGUGAGUUUUCCCCAUGCAAGUUUUCCCCCAUGUGACACCCCUCCCACAUCCCCUGCCCUCCUAUUUCAUGUCCCUACUCCUCCCUCCACCCCCCGCUAUUCCACACUGAGGUGCACAGAAAGUUGGGAGGGCACAGAACGGGGACAGCUGACCCCAACUGACCAAAGAGAUAUUCCAUACCAUAUGACAUCAUGCUCUGUAUAUAAAGGGCUGGAGGGAAGGAGGAAGAAGGGGGAGAUGUUCAGAGUGAUGGCAUUUGUCUUCCCAAGUCACCGUUACGUGUGAUGGAGCCCUGCUUUCCUGAAGAUGGCUGAACACCUGCCUGCUAGUGGAAAGUGGUGAACGAAUUCCUUGUCUUGCUUUGCUUGCGUGUGUGGCUUUUGCUUUACCUAUUAAACUGUCUUUAUCUCAACCCAUGAGUUUUCUCAAUUUUACUCUUCUGAUUCUCUCCCCCAUCCCACUGUGGGGGGACUGAGCAAGCAGCUGCAUGGUGUGUAGUUGCUGGCUGGGGUUAAACCACGACAGCUCUGUAAGCAGCAGUACUCGUGCUGUGCAAGUAUUCCUGUCUCCCAACCUCUGGGAAGUAAUUCUGCCAAAUAUAAAGAGUGAAACAGGCAGGGCAUAAUCUACAGCAAUUCUGCCACUCAAGGGACCUGGCAGGCCCCUUUCUCUCGCCUCUUACUCUGUCCAGCUAGGCUGGAAAAUAUGGUUGUUGCAGAAACUGCUACACCCUGCGACAACUCCUCGGGUUGUGACUCCUUCUUUUUGCCCUGUGUACAGGCUGCUGAGGUCAUUGACUGAACAGGAUUGGAGAGCUUCACACCAAGUCAUUCCUUUCUCCUUUGGGCAGCCACUUCCUCUUUUUUUCUUGCAGUUUUGAUGACAAAACAAUUGGGUUCAAGUUGCAAAAGCCUUUUGAUAUCAAAGCAAGAUGACAGCUAGAUUUCUACCAGCCCUGUAUUUCACUGUGUUAUGAGCUGAAAAUGGCUUGAGGCCAGGAGAUAUUUAGAGGGGUAUGAAUGAAAGAAACUGAGUGUUGAAGUGUUUGUUUUAAGGAGGCGAAUUAGGCAGCCAAAGGAACUGAGCUGCUCACCCAAUGCAUUAGCAGAACGGCCCAUCCAGUCAACCAAGUGUUGCGUGUUGCAAGCAGCAAAGUGCAAUUGCGACGCUCACUGGCAGGAGCGGCAAGGACUACAGAGCUACGCUCCUGUACAGAGCAGAGAUGGAACCUCCAGGGCUCUACAGUCAUCUGCUAAGGACACCUAAUAUACCAACAUGCCUCUUUGCUUUCCCUGCUUCAUGUCUAAUUACUUUGCACGCUGGAGGGAAGGGUGGAAAGUAACAUCAUACAGUGUCUCAUCUAAGUGACAAGCCCUGCAUAUGCAGGAUUAGGAGAGCAGAUUACUGAUAGCACAGAGGUGAGGAAAGGUGCAAACGACACAACAAAGCCCGAGGAUCACCAGUGUAUUACUCAUUUGCAGAACAGCUGCUUGCAUCUGGUCUGCUCAGACACACUGUUUCCUGCUAAACAUAGCUGUGCGUCACACAAACCAGCUUUCAGUCUCUUCCUCCUGCCUUCAGGAUGUCAUCUGUGUUGUCUUAUUUUUUUUAAAAUCUCUCUCCAGCAUCUGUUGACUUAUUGCUGUCACUUCCUGUCAUGAUUUAACCCGACCAGCAGCGAAAACAACCGCACAGGCGUUUGCUUACUGCCCCCCUUCCAGUGGGAUGGGGAGAGAAUUGAAAAUGAAAAAAAAGAGAGACUCAUGGGUUGAGAUUAAGGCAGUUUAAUAGGACAGAAAAGGAAGAUAACAACAACAAAACCAACAACAAUAAUAUACAAAACAAGUGAUGAACAGGACAAUUUCUCACCACCUGACGUCGAUGCUCAGCAAGACCCCAAGCUGUCCUGCUCUCCUCCUCACCCCUAGUUAUAUACAGAGCAUGAUGUCAUAUGGUACGGAAUAUUCCUUUGGCCAGUGUGGGUCAGCUGUCCUGGCUGCGCUCUCCCAGCUUCUUGGGCACCCCACUCCCCCACCUUCUCAUUGGCAGGGCAGUGUAAGACGCUGAAAAGUCCUCGACUGCUUGGCAACAGCUAAAAUAUCAGUGUGUUAUCAGCAUUAUUCUCAUCCUAAAUCCAAACCACAGCACUGUACCAGCUGCUGGGAAGAAAAUUAACACUCUCUCUGCUGAAACCAGGACACUCCCACAACCCUGAUGCCACAUGCAGCCCGAUACAGCAAUCCCUGGGGUUUACUCGGGGGGGGGAAAACCUGCUCCGCAGGUUCCCUGUGCUGCUUCGCCUCCCCGGGGAACGGCGUAGGGGCACGGACAGAAACCUUUAACGCGGACAGAUGCGAAGGCCUCAAGUGUUCGAGCCACCCGGGCGCAUUUUGGUACCGAGCAAUGACGAUGACUGCCGGGGCUGCGAGAGGGAAAGGGCAGAGACAUUCAAGCCCCGUACCCCCCAGCAGGCAGCGACCGCCUUUGGAUGGUACAAACCAGGCUGAGGCACUCGUCACCGCUCGUCCUACGAGCUCCGGAACGUUAAGGCGAUCAUGCGCCGGUACUGCAGCUCGGGAGCAGCGCACGCGCGAUGGCGCCGCUGUGCUCCACGGCAACGGCAACGCGACACUGCGGCGCGUGCGGGCGGCGUCGCUGCGCUUGCUGCUGCUUCCCGGUACGGACGCGCCGGUGCCGCCCCGGUUCACGCCGCCGUCCUCCGGGUGCUCGUGCUGCUGCUGCCGCCGCCUCGUGGCCGAAGUGCGGUACUGCAGCCCGGCGGUCGCGUGCCGGCUCCGGCCUCUCCGGCGCGCCGUCGGCGUCCGGCGCAUGCGCGGUGCGCGGCAGCAGCAUGGCGGCACGCUGGACGCCGGUCCCGGCGGCGGGUGAGGGCCGGGCUCAGCGGUGAGGUGAGCGAGCCCUGGCGGCGGGUGCAGGCUGUCUCGUGCCCGCUGGCAGCCCGGGGGUGGCGGGACGGGAAGGUUCUAGCCGCCCGCUGCAGCAGGCUGCCGCUCCUCUGGAGGCGAGAGCCGGCUCAGGGCAGCCCCAGAGAGUGUCCCGGGAGCUGACGGGGGGAAGGGGGACAAGAAGGCGGACAGCCUGCCAGGCGCAGGCGCUGGGUGCCUCCCGGACUCGCCGGAGCUCCCCCUGAGCCUCCCCCGGCCCCGCUCAGCUUGUGCAGCAGCCCCCGGUUCCAGCAGCUCUCCUGAAGCCUGUCCGGCAGCCCCAGGCCGCCCCCAAGCCCUGGUGUGAAGGCGGCAAGCUGGCCCUCGAUGUGUCUCCAGAGGCCCCUGUGGAAGGAGGGGCUCUGGCCAGGGGCGAUCCAUGGUGAUAACGGUCGCUGCUGCUUCUUUCCCUCUCCCAGAGGCUGUGCUGAGGACGUGGUCAUCCAUUCCUCCCCUGGGGAUGCUGUUGACUGCACCUGCCUCAGGUUUGUGUGGGUUGUCUCUGCCCGGCCUUGCUCUCCUUGCAGCGCAGAGGUGACAAGGGACAGGUGGAGCACUUACUGGCUGUGGACGGCAGGCAGGAGCUGCUGCAGCUGAAGCCGGAGGGGCCAGAGAAAGGUAAAGAAGAAGAAAUGGAAGGCCAUCCUGCUGGCAGCUGCCUCCCACUGCAGGCUACCUGCCUUGCCAGGUAGGAACUAAAAGGAACUAAAAACAUCAGUGUGUUAUCAACAUUAUUCUCAUCCUAAAUUCAAAACAUAGCACUGUACCAGCUGCUGGGAAGAAAAUGAACUCUCCCUGCUGAAACCAGGACAAAGAGGAAGGGAGGAGAGAAGGAAGAAGAAGCAUCUGAACUGGCAAAUUUUCCUGGCAUUGCCAAGAGUGAGAGCUGCAAGGCAGCACUGAGGACUCAGUUGUCGGUUCCUCUCCGGGGGUGUUGUUGGCUGCAUCUGUCUGCUCAGGUUUGUGUGGGUUGCCUUUGGCCUCCUUCUCCUAGCGGCAUGGGCGAAAAGGGACAGCUGGACACUUAGUGGCUGCAGACAGGAGCUGCUGUGGCUGAAGCUGGAGAGGCCAGAAAAAGGUAGAGCAGCUCAAGGAUCACAGGAGGAUCACAGGGGGAUCCAUCCAGCAGCUUCCUCCAGCUGCAGACAGGAGACAGCCUGCCUCUCUGGGUGAGGAAGGAUCCGUCUUCAUGUAGCCCUCAGCAGAUCCAAUCACCAACGUGCGUGGCAGGUGGAUGACAGCGACCGGAGCUAUGGAAGAGGAAGGGAGCGGGGGAGAGAGAGACAGAGACUAGUCCAAACUCUCAAAUUCUCCCAGCAGCUCUGAGAGCUGGAGCUGUGCUGAUCUCUGUUCUGUGAGAAGACACCAGGAGUUGCUCCCACGUUGGGCACAGCCAGUUCCAGGAUGGAUCUGCUGCUGGUCAAAGCUGAGACCAUCAGCAACGCUGGUGGUGCCUCUGUGAGGACGUACCUAAGAAGGGCUAAAAAAUGCUGCACAGAAGCUGUGACAGAGAAAAAUGUGAGUGUGAAACAGCCCUGCAGACACCCGGGUCAGUGCAGAAGGAGGGGGAGGAGGUGCUCCAGGCGCCGGAGCAGAGAUCCCCCUGUAGCCCGUGGUGAAGACCAUGGUGAAGCAGGCUGUCCCCCUGCAGCCCAUGGAGGAAGGAUGAGGGGGUGUAGAGAUUCCACCUGCAGCCCGUGGAGGACCCCACGCCAGAGCAGGUGGAGACACCUGAAGGAGACAGUGACCCUGUGGGAAGCCGCACUGGAGCAGGCUCCUGGCAGGACCUGUGGCCCCAUGGAGAGAGGAGCCCAGGCUGGAGCAGGUUUGCUGGCAGGACUUGUGACCCCAUGGGGGACCCACGCUGAAGCAGAAGAGCGUGAGGAGGAGGGAGCAGCAGAGACAACGUGUGAUGAACUGAGCGCAGCCCCUGCUCCCUGUCCUCCUGCCCUGCUUGGGGAGAGGAGGGAGAGAAGUCAGGAGUGAAGAUGCCCCAGAGGGAGGUGGGAUGAGAUUUGCUGCUGUUCUGCAGGGAAGCCCAGCACAAAGACAACCUGUCGAGGCUUCAGGAUUAAACACUUUACUGGGCUUUUUCUGCCUUCUGCAGACCUCUUGGCUGUUAACGUGCCAAAGUUCCCAGCCCCCUGGGUUUCCAGACAACUUAUUUUGGCUUGGACUAGAGUCUCAGUUAACACCUGCACAGCCAAACCCUCAUAGACCUGGGCAGGCUCCUGUAGCCCAUCACUUUUUAUUUUCUUUUCUGAAUCUUCCUCGACGUAGCUUCCUUUAACAAUUUUUUUUCAUUUCCUGCCUCUCUGUCCUGUUCCCUUUCUAUUUCUCUCUCUAUCCGUCUUAUGUUCUCUAAUUUAUAAUCCCUUCCUGUGUUUGUCGCUUUUUGAUUUCUCUUUCCGUGACUACCUCCAGUGCCCACGCUGGAGCAGGUGGAUGCCCCCAAAGGAGGCUGUGGCCCUGUGGGAAGCCUGCACUGGAGCAGUGUGUUCCUGAAGGGCUGCACCCCGUGGAAGGGACUCGCGCUGGAGAAGUUUGUGGAGGACUGUGUCCCAUGGGAGGGACCCCACGCUGGAGGAGGAGAAUAGUGAGAGGAAGGAGGAGCAGCAGAGACAGUGUGUGAUGAACUGACCACAACCCCCAUUCCCCAUCCUCCUGUGCCACUCGGCUGGUGGAGGUAGAGAAAUCAGGAAUGAAGUCAAGCCUGGGAAGAAAGGAGGGGUGAGGGGAAGGUGUUUUAAGAUUUGGAUUUAUUUCUCAUUACCCUACUCUGAUGGCUUUGGCAAUAAAUUCAACUAGUUUCCCCAAA
Long non-coding RNA from Grus americana (Whooping crane), 7504 nucleotides. RefSeq lists it as uncharacterized. The transcript has 4 exons. The record is from RefSeq and is a predicted model, not a curated record. NCBI's taxonomy places the organism in Eukaryota, Metazoa, Chordata, Aves, Gruiformes, Gruidae.